RNAcentral lists this ribosomal RNA (2523 nucleotides) under Escherichia coli. RNAcentral describes it as "partial 23S ribosomal RNA". It matches the Rfam family "Bacterial large subunit ribosomal RNA", at positions 441 to 2925 of the family's 2925-position model. Lineage: Bacteria; Pseudomonadati; Pseudomonadota; Gammaproteobacteria; Enterobacterales; Enterobacteriaceae. The record is from RNAcentral.
AAUAUGGGGGGACCAUCCUCCAAGGCUAAAUACUCCUGACUGACCGAUAGUGAACCAGUACCGUGAGGGAAAGGCGAAAAGAACCCCGGCGAGGGGAGUGAAAAAGAACCUGAAACCGUGUACGUACAAGCAGUGGGAGCACAGAGCAAUCUGUGUGACUGCGUACCUUUUGUAUAAUGGGUCAGCGACUUAUAUUCUGUAGCAAGGUUAACCGAAUAGGGGAGCCGAAGGGAAACCGAGUCUUAACCGGGCGUUAAGUUGCAGGGUAUAGACCCGAAACCCGGUGAUCUAGCCAUGGGCAGGUUGAAGGUUGGGUAACACUAACUGGAGGACCGAACCGACUAAUGUUGAAAAAUUAGCGGAUGACUUGUGGCUGGGGGUGAAAGGCCAAUCAAACCGGGAGAUAGCUGGUUCUCCCCGAAAGCUAUUUAGGUAGCGCCUCGUGAAUUCAUCUCCGGGGGUAGAGCACUGUUUCGGCAAGGGGGUCAUCCCGACUUACCAACCCGAUGCAAACUGCGAAUACCGGAGAAUGUUAUCACGGGAGACACACGGCGGGUGCUAACGUCCGUCGUGAAGAGGGAAACAACCCAGACCGCCAGCUAAGGUCCCAAAGUCAUGGUUAAGUGGGAAACGAUGUGGGAAGGCCCAGACAGCCAGGAUGUUGGCUUAGAAGCAGCCAUCAUUUAAAGAAAGCGUAAUAGCUCACUGGUCGAGUCGGCCUGCGCGGAAGAUGUAACGGGGCUAAACCAUGCACCGAAGCUGCGGCAGCGACACUGUGUGUUGUUGGGUAGGGGAGCGUUCUGUAAGCCUGUGAAGGUGUGCUGUGAGGCAUGCUGGAGGUAUCAGAAGUGCGAAUGCUGACAUAAGUAACGAUAAAGCGGGUGAAAAGCCCGCUCGCCGGAAGACCAAGGGUUCCUGUCCAACGUUAAUCGGGGCAGGGUGAGUCGACCCCUAAGGCGAGGCCGAAAGGCGUAGUCGAUGGGAAACAGGUUAAUAUUCCUGUACUUGGUGUUACUGCGAAGGGGGGACGGAGAAGGCUAUGUUGGCCGGGCGACGGUUGUCCCGGUUUAAGCGUGUAGGCUGGUUUUCCAGGCAAAUCCGGAAAAUCAAGGCUGAGGCGUGAUGACGAGGCACUACGGUGCUGAAGCAACAAAUGCCCUGCUUCCAGGAAAAGCCUCUAAGCAUCAGGUAACAUCAAAUCGUACCCCAAACCGACACAGGUGGUCAGGUAGAGAAUACCAAGGCGCUUGAGAGAACUCGGGUGAAGGAACUAGGCAAAAUGGUGCCGUAACUUCGGGAGAAGGCACGCUGAUAUGUAGGUGAAGUCCCUCGCGGAUGGAGCUGAAAUCAGUCGAAGAUACCAGCUGGCUGCAACUGUUUAUUAAAAACACAGCACUGUGCAAACACGAAAGUGGACGUAUACGGUGUGACGCCUGCCCGGUGCCGGAAGGUUAAUUGAUGGGGUCAGCGCAAGCGAAGCUCUUGAUCGAAGCCCCGGUAAACGGCGGCCGUAACUAUAACGGUCCUAAGGUAGCGAAAUUCCUUGUCGGGUAAGUUCCGACCUGCACGAAUGGCGUAAUGAUGGCCAGGCUGUCUCCACCCGAGACUCAGUGAAAUUGAACUCGCUGUGAAGAUGCAGUGUACCCGCGGCAAGACGGAAAGACCCCGUGAACCUUUACUAUAGCUUGACACUGAACAUUGAGCCUUGAUGUGUAGGAUAGGUGGGAGGCUUUGAAGUGUGGACGCCAGUCUGCAUGGAGCCGACCUUGAAAUACCACCCUUUAAUGUUUGAUGUUCUAACGUGGACCCGUGAUCCGGGUUGCGGACAGUGUCUGGUGGGUAGUUUGACUGGGGCGGUCUCCUCCUAAAGAGUAACGGAGGAGCACGAAGGUUGGCUAAUCCUGGUCGGACAUCAGGAGGUUAGUGCAAUGGCAUAAGCCAGCUUGACUGCGAGCGUGACGGCGCGAGCAGGUGCGAAAGCAGGUCAUAGUGAUCCGGUGGUUCUGAAUGGAAGGGCCAUCGCUCAACGGAUAAAAGGUACUCCGGGGAUAACAGGCUGAUACCGCCCAAGAGUUCAUAUCGACGGCGGUGUUUGGCACCUCGAUGUCGGCUCAUCACAUCCUGGGGCUGAAGUAGGUCCCAAGGGUAUGGCUGUUCGCCAUUUAAAGUGGUACGCGAGCUGGGUUUAGAACGUCGUGAGACAGUUCGGUCCCUAUCUGCCGUGGGCGCUGGAGAACUGAGGGGGGCUGCUCCUAGUACGAGAGGACCGGAGUGGACGCAUCACUGGUGUUCGGGUUGUCAUGCCAAUGGCACUGCCCGGUAGCUAAAUGCGGAAGAGAUAAGUGCUGAAAGCAUCUAAGCACGAAACUUGCCCCGAGAUGAGUUCUCCCUGACCCUUUAAGGGUCCUGAAGGAACGUUGAAGACGACGACGUUGAUAGGCCGGGUGUGUAAGCGCAGCGAUGCGUUGAGCUAACCGGUACUAAUGAACCGUGAGGCUUAACCUUACAACGCCGAAGGUGUUU